RNAcentral lists this unclassified non-coding RNA (240 nucleotides) under soil metagenome. RNAcentral's name for it is "partial internal transcribed spacer 1". The record is from RNAcentral.
ACAUCUGGUUUUGGAAUGUGGUGGUGUUUUCUCUCUUAGGAGAAGAGCAUUGCCCAUCUACCCCAUUGUGUGCAUGUCUGUGUGUGUUGUGUUGUGAGUAGGUAAAGCUUCGGCUUAGCCUUUCCUUCACCUCACUCAUCUCAUUUAUACAACCCCAAACCCCUUCUUCUCAUCACACUAGACUGACUUUCAAUCCUCGUUUUCGCUCCCUACCAACGGAGCAAAACAUCAAUCAGCAUA